RNAcentral lists this ribosomal RNA (446 nucleotides) under uncultured bacterium. Its description in RNAcentral is "partial 16S ribosomal RNA". It matches the Rfam family "Bacterial small subunit ribosomal RNA", at positions 338 to 795 of the family's 1533-position model. The record is from RNAcentral.
CCUACGGGUGGCAGCAGUCGAGAAUCAUUCACAAUGGGAGAAACCCUGAUGGGGCGACGCCGCGUGGGGGAAUGAAGGUCUUCGGAUUGUAAACCCCUGUCAUGUGGGAGCAAAUUAAAAAGAUAGUACCACAAGAGGAAGAGACGGCUAACUCUGUGCCAGCAGCCGCGGUAAUACAGAGGUCUCAAGCGUUGUUCGGAAUCACUGGGCGUAAAGGGUGCGUAGGCUGUUUCGUAAGUCGUGUGUGAAAGGCGCGGGCUCAACCCGCGGACGGCACAUGAUACUGCGAGACUAGAGUAAUGGAGGGGGAACCGGAAUUCUCGGUGUAGCAGUGAAAUGCGUAGAUAUCGAGAGGAACACUCGUGGCGAAGGCGGGUUCCUGGACAUUAACUGACGCUGAGGCACGAAGGCCAGGGGAGCGAAAGGGAUUAGAUACCCCUGUAGUC